Long non-coding RNA from Ictalurus punctatus (channel catfish), 7417 nucleotides. RefSeq lists it as uncharacterized. Lineage: Eukaryota; Metazoa; Chordata; Actinopteri; Siluriformes; Ictaluridae. The record is from RefSeq and is a predicted model, not a curated record. The transcript has 2 exons.
UGACUAAUAACAUUUUAGGAUAAUUACAUCUCAACAAACUGCUAAAAUAUACUUGUCCUCUAACAAAGAACUUUAUUCUUUGUAAAUCUGUAGUUAUCCAAAGUCAAGCAAAUGCAUAGAAUGUUGCAGAUGUAAUGCAAAGGGUACAGGAAAAACAAAUUUCAGAAUAAAGCAACAUGGUAGAGCAGUCACACAAUGUGGCACUGGCUGAUCUAGAGCCAUGGCGAAGGCACUCAAACAGCUUGUGUGUGGGUGGACAGUAAAAGUAGGGCAACAAGAUGAGAAGAGAAAUAUGGCUAUAGAUUACAUAAGAAUGAAGAGAAACCCAGAGGUGUUGCAGAAUAAAGCUACUUUUAAUAUUUAUUUAAAAAAGUAAAAAUGGAUUUAACCCCCAGAGAUACGGUAUCUAUGGAAUGUAAUUCACUCAAACAAAAUAUAAUAUUAAAGUUUUUAAUAUCUCAGAAUUGGACAACUUGUGCACCAGGAACGUUUAUAGUAGGUGAACCACAGAAUGUGGUUAUUAUGUUAAGUUUUAUCUUUUGACCACUUAUACACUACAGUAAAAAAUCAUUUCAAUUACUAAUGCUUUACCCAAGGUUUUGUGGUAUCCCUGCUCAUGUUGGUAACACAUACCUUUAAAUGAAACUGAUUCACACAAAUGUUGAUUAACCCCAGAAAACAUUGUAAAUUAAUUUCAAGCAAAAUCAUACACUGUAGAAGCCAUAUUCAGAGUAGAAUUCAUACUGAAAUUGUACACAUUGGUAGUCAAAUCUGAGACAUAACCACAGAUGACUUGGGUGCUACAGACUUUGCUGCUCAGACAGUUGCAGUGAGUUGUGUGCAUGGGGUGGAGUUUGCUGAAAAUGGUGGAGUGUCACAGAAACACAUUUUGGCAUAUGAAUUGUCCCAGGAGAGGCCACAAUUUGUUUAUUUGAUGUGCACAGAAAAGAUCAGAGGAGACAGCAUAUUAAUCUGAGGUAAUAUCUAUAGAACUGAAUUUCAUAUGGCAUGUUGGUUUUUACAUUGAAUUCAGGAACCCCAUCUACUUAAAGUGAACUUUAAAGUGAGCUUUAGGAACUCCAUCUACUUAAUGUCAGUUUAAAGCUCUGUCCUGAAAGCUUUAAGCAAGAAAAUCUGCCAACUUUGGUGUUAACAUGGAUAAUUUGAAUACUGAUAUAAAUUAUGAACGUCCUUACUCUGAAUAUAGCCGCAUAGUUAUUAGGUUGAAAAAUGCUGAACAGUUUCUUUAAUAUGGAUUAUUAACUGGUGCAAAAAAUGUAGUCCAAUUUUGUGCAGUUAAAUCUAAAAAUCAAAAUCAUACCGCACAGCUGUCCCUCAGGGCAUCAAACUUUCUUUGGAUUUCAUCCCGGUGAGCCUUAAAAAACAAAACAAAACAAAAAAGCCACAUCAGUUACAUCCAAGAAUGGGGAAGCGUGCACUUCAAGAGCCCACAGAACUCUAUGGUGAAUGUUGCAAAACUAGAGAUUCAGCAUUUCAAGAGUAUAGUGAGUAAAACUAUGCAGGGUGAAUGCUAGGCAUACAUUCAGGCCCAUAAAUAUUUAAACACUGACAAAAUUAUUGUUAUUUUAGCUGUCUACCACAUUAAAUAAUGACUAUGAGUAAUAUGAGUGAAUGAAUAUAAAGUGAAGACCUUCAGCUUUAAUUUGAGAUUAUUUACUACAUCCAAAUUGGGUGAACAGUGUAAGAAUUACAGCAAAUUUUAUAUGUGGUGUCACCCACAUACAAAAUAAUUGGACCAUUGGCUGCUCAGCUGUCCCAGAUGUGUGAAAUUUUCCUCAUUAUUUCACAUGCAGAUUAGAGUUGAUUUCAAGUGUAGCACCUGCACUUGGAAACUGUUGCUGUUAAUUCUCAAAAUGAAGUCCAAAGAGUGGUCAUUGCCAGUGAAGCAAGUCAUCCUUAGGCCAGAAAAAUCAAAACAAACCAAAUAAAAGAGAUAGCAAAAAAAUUAGGUGUGGCCAAAUCAAAUAUUUGCUACAUAAAAGAAAGAAUGCUCUGGUGAGCUCAGGGACACCAAGAGGCCCAGUCAUCCACCACAGAAAACAUUUGUGGUAGAUGACAGAAGAAUUCUUUCCCUGGUGAAGAAAAAAAAAAAAAACAGUAACAGUUGUGCAGAUCAAGAACACCCUCCAGGACAUAGGCAUAUAUGUGUCAUCAACAAUUUAGAGAACUUUUCACCAGAGUCAAUACAAAAAUGAUGCCACAUAAUUUAAACCAUUGUAAGCCUCAACACUAGGAAGACCAGGUUAGAGACAUCAUCCUAUGGAUAGAGGAGACAAAGAUCAACUUGUACCAGAAUCAUGGGAAGAGAAGAGUAUGGAGAAGGGAAGGAACUGCUCAUGAUCUGAAUCUUACCACCUCAACUUAUGCCGUGGGCAUGGCUGCGAGUAGAACUGAUUUCUUUAUAUUUAGUGUUGAUGUAAAAGCUGGCAAAAGCAGCAAGAUACAUUAUUAAGUGUAUAGGGCUACAUUAUUUGAUUAGAUUCACACUUGCUGAAGGAAAAACUGAAAUGCCCCAAGAACAAACUUGACCUGGGAAGAAGUUUCACCAGGGAAGAAACUCAGGGUCUAGUGAUGCCUAUAUCUUCCAGACUUCAAGCAGUCAUUGGAUAAAACGAUUUGUGACCAAGUGAAUGACAAUUUAAUUUAUGAUCAUGUAAGUUUUUCAAAUUACUUUUGGUCCCAUAAAUAGGGGAAGGAAAAAAAGCUAAAAUAACAAUAACAUUGUCAAUGUCCAAAUCUUUGUGGACCUGUCUGUAUUUCACUUGAUAGUGUAAUAAAUAUGUAGGUUCAAUUCAAUUCAACCGAAUAUUAUUUUAUUUAUUUGUAUAUUUAUUUACUUUUAACAAUGGAUAUUGUCACAAAGCAGCUUUAUAGAAAUCUGGAUAUAGCGUCUAUAUCCAGAUUUAUAUAAAGCUGCUUUGUGACAAUUUAGAUCUCAGUCUGUUCUAUUGAGUAUUAUAGAUACAGUCAUGUGAAAAAAAUAAGUACACCCCAUGGAAAUUGACAUCAGCAUGCUGGAAUUUUUGACCACUCUUCCAUGCAAUAUUCUUUCAGUGGCAAGAUGUUUGAUGGUUUUCUUGCCUGUACUCUCUUUUUCAAAUCCCCCACAACAUUUCAAUGGGAUUCAAAUCUGGACUUUGACUAGGCCAUUCCAUAACCCUCCAUUUCUUCUUUAUGAGCCAUUCCUUGGUGGAUUUGCUAGUGUGCUUAGGUCAUUAUCCUGUUGAAAGGUCCACUUUCAGUUCAACUUCAACUUUUGGACAGAUGGCCUCAGAUGGCCUUCAAGCACUCUUUGAUAUGAUGCAGAAUUCAUAGUUGAAUCAAUGAAUGCAAGCUGUCCAGUCCCUGACGCAGCAAAGCAACCCCAAACCAUAACAUUCCCACAGCUGUGUUUCACAGUUGGUAUGAAGUGUUUCGACUGAAAAACACCUUGUGUUGUUCUAAUGUUCUUUUUAGAGAGUAAAGGCCUUUUCCUGGCACACUUCCCAUGCAGGUCAAACUUGUGCAAUCUCUUUCUGAUUGUAGAAGCAUGCACUUUGACACCAACAGUUGCAAGACUUACUAGCAGAUCCUGUGAAUAAAUUUUGGGGUUCUUGGAAACUUCUUUUUGCAUCAGAUGGCCUUCUCUUGGGCUGAAUUUGCUGGGACAACCGAUCCUGGACAAAUUGGCAGUCGUUUGAAAUCUGCACUACUUGUAGAUGAUUUUCCUUAUAGUGAAAUGAUGCAUUUCAAAUAAUUUGGAGAUCUUUUUAAAUCGCUUGCCAGACUCAUAGGCAUCCACAACCUUUUUUCUGAAGGCCUUACAGAACUCUUCUCGGCAUGAUGACACCACACACCUCCAUAGCAAAGGGAACACCAGACACUAGAUAUGAGAGGGGUAUAAAUAACCAGGUUCUAAUCAAUGGAACCCAAUCUUGAAGACCUGAUUCUAAUUUUAUGGAUUUGAAGAUGUGAUAAAUGUAGGGGUGUACUUACUUUUUCCUUGUGACUGAUCAGAUUUGUUUCUUUUUUUGUUAAUUUAAAAAUUGUGAAAAUUUCUAAAAAAAUUUUUUUUCAAUUUUAUGUCAUUUGAUAGUGUAUCAACUUUUAUUAAUAGGCACUGUUUCAAAGAGGAUCAAAUGUUUGCUUGUCCAAAUAUGCACAAAACAAAACAAACCAGCCCCCCCCCCCCCCAAUUUCCAUUUGGUGUACUUAUUUUUUUUUAAUGACUGUAUGUCAUACUUCUUGCCCUUGAUCUCCAACGUUAAUUGUUUUUUAUUUAAUACACUUUAUCUUACCCGGAGAACAGUGAUUUCCUCCUCUGCCUCAGCAGUGGUCUCUUCUAGCUCUGUCUUGGCCUGCUGUAACUGGCUUUCCAAGGCAUGGCGCGCAGCCUGCAGACUGCUGAUCUGAGACUCUCUCUCCUGUAAUGACAGUGUCAGCUCUGACACUUGCCUCUUUAAAUCCAGCUUCUGCUCCUCAUGUUCCAGGCCGAUCUAAAGAGGUAAAGGGAUUUUUAUUAAGCAUAAUUAUGUGCCACAAUUUUUCUGUUGUGUUUUAUUUCUAUGUUCAAUCCCUUCAUUAAGAAAGUCUUUUUGUCAAUAGGGAAAUUAUGAAUUGUUAACAGUAACUGAUGGGUGUGCAAAGACCUCCACGUAUCAAUAGAAGUGAAUUUGAUCAUUAAUGAAAACUGAUGGAAUGAAAACUACAUAUAAUCAGUAUAAUAAUAAUAAUCAAUAAUCAGCUGAUAGUUUAAAAACAUCCGAUGAUCAGGGCCGAUUAUAUCCUGUCAAUCAAAAGAGGGCGGGAAAACAUCGAUUUCGUGUUUUUUGUAAAGAUGAUGUCUCUUGUGUGGAAUGAUGACAAAACUGCAUUUUGUAUUCUUUGUAAUCUCUGCACUGCUAAAAUUUUACACCGGAAGUUGCAGCAGUGAAGCGGGAGUUUUGGCGUCGAGUCCAAUAAUUUUUUUUCCCCCCGCGUUGCUCGAGCUGAGUUAAAGUGCCAGUACAAGGUCAAAAGAUUUAUAUAAAGAGGAGUUGACAAAAAAGUAGCUAUAUAUAUAUAUAUAUAUAUAUUGCACAUAAAAUAUAUUUGUAGAGUAGCGUAUUUCAUAUCCAGUUAAUGUUAAUAUAUAAAAAAAAUUAUUUUAUAUUAUAUAUUAUACCAGUUACUUCAAUGAUGAAACAGAAAUGUGUUUGUUUGUGGUGAGUGAAUGUGAAAGUUUUUUUUAGAAUUCAGUCAAUUAAUUAUGUUAAUAUGAAUUAAUAAAAUUCAAUAAGUUAAGAAAUCUUAAUUUAAUCUUCAGAAUUUAGUUAAUGUGUUCUUGUUAAUUUGAGUAAUGUGUUUUCUGUUUAUGAGACCAGUUACUGUGAAACAACUUGUUGAAAUGGAAAGAAUAAAGUUAUUAUUUGCAUUUCUUUCAGAAUUGUGGAAUUAAUUAUUAUUAAUUUAAAAGAAGGCAUAAAAGGCAGAACUAUCGGUAUCGGCCGAUGUCACUCUGAAUAAUCGGUUAUCGGUAUCGGCUGAGAAAUUUUGUAUCAGCGCAUCUCUAAUUGUCACGUAAUCCACAUAAAGAGGAUUUAGGAACAAUGCAAUCACAGUUAAGAGCUUUAUUAAAGAGAGGCAGGCAGAUAAAUCCAAAUCGUGAGACAAUAGAAUGAACGAAAUAACAGGCAAGGGGUCAGGCGAUCAACAUACAGGCAUAAACGAGGCAAGGCAAGAAUCGAAAAAGAGUAACGAGAACUAGGUCAAAACCAGAAUAAACAAUCACGGAAUCAAGGCUUGGAAAUGACAGAGACAAUGAAACUGCUACAAGACAUUGUGAAUGAGCAGUCUCUGUUAUAGUGUGGUGUGAUUGUGAGUGUGAUUGGGAACAGGUGUGUCUGACUAGUGUUCCGGAGAAGGUGAACAUGUGUGUGUGUGGGAAGUGUAGUCCACAGCGGCCAUGUUUGCAGGCCGCAAUGCAGGAUGGGAAAUGUAGUCACUGGUUUGCUGUGACAUGACACUAAUAAGGAACCAACGAUAAUUUCACCUAGGUUAGAACCUUGUGAGAUGCCACAUAUUAUUGAUUGUUGGAAAUGUUUCAUGUUUUUUUUUCUUCUCAUCUACCAAUACUGAAUUUGUUUCUGAUUUUAUAAACCUCAUUUGUUCAUUUACUUCAGCAACUGCUUUAUAAUGGUCAGGUAUCUGUGGCCUAUUCCAGGAACACUUGGAGUGAGGUGGGAAUACACCCUGGAAAGAAUGCUUCCACAUUGCAGUACAUACCCCCCUACACACACACACACACACACACACACACACACACACACACACACACACACACACACACACACACACACACACACCUACCUUAUUUGCACCUACAGUCAAUUUAGCAUAGCCAAUCCAACUACAAGCAUGAUUUCUGGAAGUAGGAGGAAACCAGAGAACCUUCUAGAAUCUUACAUGAACAUAGGGGGGAUAUCCUCUGCAAAUACUGUAACCAGAGCUCAGGAUUGAAUCACUGACCAAUGAUAAAUCAGUGGCAAUAGUACCGACUGCGCCAGUGUGCCACCUCAAUUACAGUCCCCUCUGAAAAUAUUGGAGCAGCAAGGUCUUUUUGUGAUAUAAACUGAAGACAUUUGGGUUUGAGAUCAAAGCAUGAAUAUGAGAUGUUAUAUCAGAAUUUCAGCCCCCCCCCCCCGAUAUUUACAUCUGCAUGUGUUACACAACUAAGAGCAUGGUAUCUCUGGUGGCAGAACUGUUCUUUUGGUGAUCAAAAUAUUGGAACAGCCUAUAUCCUCUGACAUCAACUGUUGCAUUUUUCUUUGUGAUGCCUUUCCAGGCUUAUACUGCAGCUUCUUCUUUUUUUGGGGGGGGGGUCGUUCAGUUUCCCUUCAGGAGGUGAAUUGCAUGCUCAGUUACUUUACGGUAUGAUGACUGACUUGGCCAGUCUAAAACCUUGCAAUUUUUCCGCCUGAUGAAGUCCUUUGUUAUGUUAGCAGUGUCUUUUGGGUCAUUGUCUUGCUGCAUGACGAAGUUCUUCCCAAUUAGAUUGGAUGCAUUUCUCUGUAAAUUGGCAGAUAGAAUGUUUCUAUAGAUUUCUGCAUUCAUUCUGCUGCUACCAUCAUUAGUUACAUUAUCAAUAAAGAUUAGUGAACUCGUUCUAGAAGCAUGCAUGCAAGCCCAUGCCAUGACACUAUCUCUACCGUGCUUGACUGAUGAGCUUAUUUGUUUUGGAAUAUUACGUAUUAUUAAUAUAUAAUAUAUAUUAUUACAAUUACAUAUAUCUGACAGUAAAGAGUUUCAGAGUCGUGGAGCAGCACUGCUAAAGGAUCUGGACCCCAUAGUCAGACGAACCGAAGUCAGACGAACCGAAGGUAUCACAAGAGAGAGAGAGAGAGAGAGAGAGAGAGAGAGAGAGAGAGCGAGAGAGAGA